CCUACGGGUGGCAGCAGUGAGGAAUAUUGGUCAAUGGCCGGAAGGCUGAACCAGCCAAGUCGCGUGAGGGACGACUGCCCUAUGGGUUGUAAACCUCUUUUAUAAGGGAAGAAUAAAUGCUACGUGUAGCAGGAUGCCUGUCCCUUAUGAAUAAGCAUCGGCUAACUCCGUGCCAGCAGCCGCGGUAAUACGGAGGAUGCGGGCGUUAUCCGGAUUUAUUGGGUUUAAGGGGUGCGUAGGCGGUGUUUUAAGUUAGUGGGUAAGCGUCGGGGGCUCACCUUGAUUUGCCAUUAAUACUGUACGGCUGGAGUGCAGACGAGGUAGGCGGAAUUAGUAAAGUAGCGGUGAAAUGCUUAGAUAUUA
This 363-nucleotide ribosomal RNA is filed under the name uncultured bacterium. RNAcentral describes it as "partial 16S ribosomal RNA". It matches the Rfam family "Bacterial small subunit ribosomal RNA", at positions 338 to 699 of the family's 1533-position model. The record is from RNAcentral.